UGGUGCAGAAUAAGGGGUGGGCAAGUCUGGUGUCAGCCGCCGCGGUAAUACCAGCACCCCGAGUGGUCGGGACGAUUAUUGGGCCUAAAGCAUCCGUAGCCGGUUCUGCAAGUCCUCCGUUAAAUCCAGCCGCUCAACGGAUGGGCCGCGGAGGAUACUAUAGGACUAGGAGGCGGGAGAGGCAAGCGGUACUCAGUGGGUAGGGGUAAAAUCCUUUGAUCCAUUGAAGACCACCAGUGGCGAAGGCGGCUUGCCAGAACGCGCUCGACGGUGAGGGAUGAAAGCUGGGGGAGCAAACCGGAUUAGAUACCCGGGUAGUCCCAGCUGUAAACGAUGCAGACUCGGUGAUGGGCUAGCCUUGUGCCAGCCCAGUGCCGCAGGGAAGCCGUUAAGUCUGCCGCCUGGGGAGUACGGUCGCAAGACCGAAACUUAAAG
This 435-nucleotide ribosomal RNA is filed under the name uncultured archaeon. RNAcentral describes it as "bacterial SSU rRNA". It matches the Rfam family "Archaeal small subunit ribosomal RNA", at positions 426 to 861 of the family's 1478-position model. The record is from RNAcentral.